Molecule: small nuclear RNA, 107 nt
Organism: Loxodonta africana (African savanna elephant)
Lineage: Eukaryota; Metazoa; Chordata; Mammalia; Proboscidea; Elephantidae
Source: Ensembl
GUGCUCGCUUCAGCAGCACAUAUACUAUCGCUGGAACAAUACAGAGAAGAUGAGCGUGGCCCCUGCGCAAGGAUGACGUACAAAUUCAUGAAGCGUUCCAUAUUUUU